ACUUUACUAUCAUUGGAUAUUUGCAAUUUAAUUUUGAUUCAUAUUCAUUCAGAGUAUUAAUGACAAUUCAUUAGAAUACAUCAAUUUACCCGCUGCUAAAAAUCGCGUACGUAAAAUAAUAUUAGCAACACCGCUAACGAUAAAAACAAACACAUUCUACGCAAUAUUUAAAACAAAUAGUAACACAAUACCAAAAACUGCUAAAUGUAUUUAAUUAAAUAUAUAAAUUAAUUGUUUAAAAUGUGUUUCUGUAAAAUUUUCUGUAAAAAACAAAGGAAGCAAUCAUUUUUUGCAAAAAAAAAAAACAAACAAAUAAAAUUCGUAAGAAAGAAGAUUCGACACAACCUAUUAAUAUGAAGGAAAAAAACAAUACUGCAGAAAACUUACGACUUGAAUAAAAAAAACUUUCAAGACAAACUGGCAAGGAUAACAGCAGAAAAAGUAACCGAAGCACAACAAAGUGGAGAAUCUGAAGAUCAACCUGCUGUGUCAAAUCCUGCAAUUGAAACCAUACAAAUAAAGGAAAUUGAUGCAACAAUCAUCGAAGUUAUAAAUUCUCCUGAAAGGAACUCCAGAUAGAUGUAUGAAAAACUUUGAAAAAGAUAUAGUGCUAUUAAAGGAAAUAAAAGGAAUAGUGUAUGAUAGCGUAUUAGGGUCGACAUUCAAGGCAUCCCGUUUGGCCUGAAGACUUUGUUAUUUAUUUCAUACAAUAAAUGGAUGCCAUUUUAACAUGUACCUUUUCCGGGCAACCUUCAAAGACACAAGGGGAUGAUAUGAGAAACAACAAAUACGGCACAUUGAAUGGUGAUGCUCGGAAAGCGUUAACAGAUUUCUGCCGAAUAUGCUCAAAAACAUGAAUGAACCCCUAAACUCCGCAUGAUGUUAAUCAAACUAACACCCAAUUUACACGAUGAUUUUUUUUCAUGUUUGCCCAGACGUCUGUUUUCAUGUUUGUCGAUGAUUGGUGGUGAGCGGGGUAGAGAAGA
Lucilia sericata (common green bottle fly) is the source of this 986-nucleotide long non-coding RNA. RefSeq lists it as uncharacterized. NCBI's taxonomy places the organism in Eukaryota, Metazoa, Arthropoda, Insecta, Diptera, Calliphoridae. The record is from RefSeq and is a predicted model, not a curated record. The transcript has 4 exons.